UAAGUAUCAAACACCAAGGUGAAUGUGAACAAAAAUAAGAAGAAGAAAAACGACCAUCGGAAUAAAAUGAGAAAACGAAAUGUAAUCGAUGGUUCAAAAGAAGCACUCACCGAAGGAAAAACACUCAGAAAAAAAAAGAAUAUCAAAGAAAAACCUGAGCAAUUGAAAAAGAAAAGAAUUAAAAGGAACAAAGACAGUGAAAAGAAUAAUGACAUUGACUAUAAACCCAAAACUACUUGUUUUCC
This 245-nucleotide long non-coding RNA is filed under the name Lathyrus oleraceus (garden pea). RNAcentral describes it as "Pisum sativum (pea) long non-coding RNA (PSAT_LNC031378)". The record is from RNAcentral. Lineage: Eukaryota; Viridiplantae; Streptophyta; Magnoliopsida; Fabales; Fabaceae.